This 3208-nucleotide long non-coding RNA is filed under the name Homo sapiens (human). RNAcentral's name for it is "non-protein coding lnc-TRH-4:1". The record is from RNAcentral. Lineage: Eukaryota; Metazoa; Chordata; Mammalia; Primates; Hominidae.
GGGGCCUCUCGGGUGGCAUGAGAACAUGUGGGGCUUCUUACCUGAAGGAUGUCGGCAAUUAGAGCCCAUUUUGACUGCCGGGGUAUGAGCCGACUGCCUCAGAGAACAUCAAUUAAGGAUUUAAGUGGCUCUUGUCUUCGGGGAUCAUCUUUCCUGAAUCGCGGCCACGUUCUGGGCCUGGUAAUUAUCAGCAGGCUGAUUAGGCCUCGUCCAUUAUAGAGAGUGACUUCCUAAUCGCCAGCUGCUGGGGAGGAAAAUGUCUCAGCUCCGACGCAGGUACACCCCAUCCGACAUGCCAGAGGCUGGCACGCACACACUGCAAGGCUGCUUUGGGCUGUGGCCAAAGAGAUGGCACAAGGCACACACUGGGCUUAGCUGGGUUUCCCUUGAAGAAGCUCAAGGUCUCAGGGCAGCCCUGGAGAUCAUGGAACCCAGGCCAUUCCUGGCAUGCCCACACUAAGCACAUCAUAUGCACUGUCUCAUUUUAUUCUCACAUACAGCUUUGCAAUGUAGGUACUACAGCUAUCCCACUUGACAGAUGAGGAAACUGAGGCUCAGAGACAUUAAGUGGGUCAGGCAAAAACUCAAGAUUCCAGUCAUUUUGACUCCAUGUGCUUAACUUUUAAGACAUGCUACAACUGUGUCGACAGUUUCCUAAUGAGUUACAGCCAAGGGAGCAGUUUCUAGAGGUACAGUCAGUAAGACUAGGCUGUUUCUCUUUGUGUGGCUCAUGAAGUCUCCUGGUGGGUUCAAGGUCUUCUAUAUAAAGGACUCUGUGUGUGGGGAGGGUCAGAUACUGGGGUUAAUAUCAGUGUUAAUAACUCUCAAGCUCACUUUGAAAAACAGUCUGGAUGCUUCUCUCUUCUCCGGAGCAAGCAGUUGUGCAUCUCUGAAGAAGUGAAUGUUGAUGGGUCUAAAACAAUCACAGAAAUUCAAUUUUUUUUUCUGGUAUUCUGUUUAGGGGUGUUUGUGUCAUUCAGUGAUAUAUGAUGGGAUGUCAAUGGGGGCUUUGGGAAUAGGUUUCCUUGCUGAUAAAACAGAGGCACCAUGGCCAAAAAAAAAUAAGUCCCCUUCUUCUGCUUAUGUCAUCAUGGUUUUAAGUGAUGACUGGCACUUUGGCAGCUAUUUUGUGACCAUGAGGGCACAAGCCUGAGAUGGAAGUCAACUGACAGGGAAUGGCAGAGCAGAAAGAUGGAUACAUAUGAGUUCUUGACAAUGUCACUGAGUCAUACCACAAAGACUUCACCAACUCUGAGGCCGCCCCACUGUCUGGACAUGCUGUUACACAGGAUAAUAAAAUCGGCUAAUUGUUUAUACAACUGCUGGUUGGGGUUUCUGUUACUUGUGGCCAGAACAGCCUGAUUGGCCGGGCACGGUGGCUUACACCUGUAAUCCCAGCACUUUGGGAGGCUGAGGUGGGCAGAUCACCUGAGGUCAGGAGUUCGAGACCAAGCUGGCCAACAUGGUGAAAGCCCGUCUCUACUAAAAAUACAAAAAUUAGCCAGGUGUGGUGGCACACGUCUGUAGUCCCAGCUACUCAGGUGGCUGAGGCAGGAGAAUUGAUUGACCCUGGGACGUGGAGGCUGCACUCCAGCCUGGGUGACAGAGCAAGACUCCGUCUCAAAAAAAGAAAAAAAAAAAAAAUCAGCCUGAUUGCUACAGAAUCUGACAUUUUCAGCCUCGUCAUUUGCUACUUUCCAGUUCUCAUGCUCCCCACCAUCUACUGUCACUCUCCUUAGCUUCUCACUGUCCCCAAACAUAUCAUGCCCUCUCCUGCUCCCACAUCUUUGCCCCCACCAUUCUGCCUGCCAGGAAUGCCCUUGCCCACCUAUCCCUUAAUAGCCAGCGACUCAAUGACAUUACUGUAUCUGGGAAGUCCUUCCUGACACCCGUGGCUGGGAUGGAUGACCCUCCUCUGUGGUUCCAGCUCCUCCUUCACAGCACUGACCACCAAGGGACCUGUCUGUCCCCCACUGACCUGUGAGAUCUUUCAGGAGGAAAAGAGGGAAUUAUGUCCCUGGCACUCAGGAAGGAUGCUGCUCACGGCUUUCAUGGGUUUAUCAUGUCCUGAAACAGUCUCCAAAGUUAUGCCUGUCUAUAUGAAUAUGUGUGGCAGAGUGAGUUUGUUAAAAGUACAGGCUUUGGAGUUAAACAGACCUAGGUGUGAGUUCAACUAGCUAAGUCUGACUACUACACUAACGAGCUACAGCACCUCUAGGUGCUAACAACCUUUCUGUGUCUCAAUCCACCUACCUGCAAAGUAGAGAUGGUAAACCUGACUUACCAGGGCGUGAUGAAGAUUAGAUAAGAUAUGUUAACUACUUAACUUUGUGCCUGGCACGUAGCAAAUUAUUCAUACAUGCCAGCUCUUGGGAUUAUUACUUUAUUGGUUUGCAUUUAAUUUUUGUUGGGGGAAGAGUUUUGAGCUUUUGCCAAAUUCUCCAAUGGGUCUAUGAUCCAGGAAGGUCAAGAACCACUGGUUUGGAGAGUAAAAGGAGCCCCCAGUGGGUCUGCUGGCUGUGAUGAGUACACUGCCAUGAGUGCUCACAUAGCGGCUUUGUGGCGUCCACUGGGGGGUACCGCGUAAGUGUUCCUCUGUGGGUCAGGGUGUGAUCUUGCCCGUGAUGAAUUCCCCCUCCCAAGCCCCUGGGUCCCUGUGACCUCCAGGGCUCUCCAAAUACCUCAUUAGCACUGGCUGAGAGCACAGCUAGGAAGUGGGGCUGCUGUUGCCUCUGCAGAGAACAUCCCUCAUUACAGCAGAGAGAAGCAGCAGCUCUGACAGGGGCUGGGCAGGGGCAGGGCCCCUUUGUGUCUAGGCCUGAUGACUCAGGGAACAUUGCACUUCUGAGGACAUCAUUGUCAGCACAAAGCUGCGGCUCUGAUGACAGAGCCCAGGCUCCUCUGGACUGGCACUGUCCUGCCUCCCCCAGCCCCCUUGAUUGCUCAGCCCCCUUUCCUAUGACUGCACCAGCGUUAAAGCUGCAUCCGUAAUAAACUGUCCUUUUACUCACUGGUCCUCCCAGUGGCCAAGAGAGGGUAGACUGUGAUCCCUGUCAGAACCCUGAGGCCCCAAUAGACUGGGCAGAGCCAGGUUUGGGAUUCAGGUCCCCCUGCUCCAAGCUCUUGCGGAGUGGCGGGCAGAAGUGCACACUUAGUAUCAGGCAAACCAGGGUGGGUCCUGGCCGUGCCACUCUCAAGUACCUGAAGU